UGACAUGAAGAUGAGCAGCUCAGAGGAGGUGUCCUGGAUUUCCUGGUUCUGUGGGCUCCGUGGCAAUGAAUUCUUCUGUGAGGUGGAUGAAGACUACAUCCAGGACAAAUUCAAUCUCACUGGACUCAAUGAGCAGGUUCCUCACUAUCGACAAGCUCUAAACAUGAUCUUGGACCUGGAGCCUGAUGCAGAACUGGAAGACAACCCCAACCAGAGCGACCUGAUUGAGCAGGCAGCCGAGAUGCUUUAUGGAUUGAUCCACGCCUGCUAUAUCCUCACCAACCGUGGCAUCGCCCAGAUGUUGGAAAAGUACCAGCAGGGAGACUUUGGCUACUGUCCCCGUGUGUACGGUGAGAACCAGCCAAUGCUUCCCAUCGGCCUUUCGGACAUCCCAGGUGAGGCCAUGGUGAUGCUCUACUGCCCCGAGUGCAUGGACAUGUACACACCCAAGUCAUCGAGGCACCAUCACACGGACGGCACCUACUUCGGCACCGGUUUCCCUCACAUGCUCUUCAUGGUGCACCCCGAGUGCCGGCCCAAGCGGCCCGCCAGCCAGUUUGUGCCCAGGCUCUACGGUUUCAAGAUCCAUCCGAUGGCCUACCAGCGGCAGCUCCAAGCCGCCAGCGACUUCAAGAGCCCAGUCAAGACGAUUCGCUGAUUCCCCAUCCCACUUGUCCCUCAGUCUUUGGCACCUCCGAUCCUCUGCUGCCACCCUUUCAGGAACCCUCUAUGGUUUUUAGUUUAAAUUAAAGGGGUCAUUAUUGUGGUGGGAAUAUGAAAUAAAGUGGAAGAAAA
Non-coding RNA from Callorhinus ursinus (northern fur seal), 795 nucleotides. Lineage: Eukaryota; Metazoa; Chordata; Mammalia; Carnivora; Otariidae. The record is from RefSeq and is a predicted model, not a curated record.